RNAcentral lists this ribosomal RNA (497 nucleotides) under uncultured bacterium. RNAcentral's name for it is "partial 16S ribosomal RNA". It matches the Rfam family "Bacterial small subunit ribosomal RNA", at positions 28 to 507 of the family's 1533-position model. The record is from RNAcentral.
GAUGAACGCUGGCGGCGUGCCUAAUACAUGCAAGUCGAGCGAACAGACGAGGAGCUUGCUCCUCUGACGUUAGCGGCGGACGGGCGAGUAACACGUGGAUAACCUACCUAUAAGACUGGGAUAACUUCGGGAAACCGGGGCUAAUACCGGAUAAUAUAUUGAACCGCAUGGUUCAAUAGUGAAAGACGGUUUUGCUGUCACUUAUAGAUGGAUCCGCGCCGCAUUAGCUAGUUGGUAAGGUAACGGCUUACCAAGGCGACGAUGCGUAGCCGACCUGAGAGGGUGAUCGGCCACACUGGAACUGAGACACGGUCCAGACUCCUACGGGAGGCAGCAGUAGGGAAUCUUCCGCAAUGGGCGAAAGCCUGACGGAGCAACGCCGCGUGAGUGAUGAAGGUCUUCGGAUCGUAAAACUCUGUUAUUAGGGAAGAACAAAUGUGUAAGUAACUAUGCACGUCUUGACGGUACCUAAUCAGAAAGCCACGGCUAACUACGUG